AUCCUUAAAUCUGCUUUUCUACUUUGUACCAGGCUUUGGCGUCUCCAAGUACCUGACCUCAGCUCAACCUGUCUUGGGUUUUCUUCUCCUCCCUGACAUUGACAACCCAGCCCUCCUAGGCACAGAGAGAUGGAGCUGAGUGUGGUUUUCCUGAAAUAAAGCUUGCAUUAUGAGAGGGAAUAAACAGAAGAAAAAAAUAUGUCUGAGGCGCAUGGCCCCGGGAGAGGAGGAGAAUGGGACGGUGGUUCAGAUCUGCUGAUGUAGCUGUGGUCAGUCACUGGGGAGAAUAGGCCUGUGGAUUUCUGCUCCUCUGAGAUGGAUCCAUCACUGACUACUGAACUUGUUUUCUCAUUGGCUCAACUUAAGAAGGUUCUAGAGGAUCAAGGACGUGAAACAACCAAAACCAAAGAGCAGCUGGAGACCACUUGCCAGUGAUUAGCACGAGGUAAGCUGCAAAGAACUUUGAAUUAGGUCAGUCUAAAUAAUAGGGCGUUUUUCAAGUCCUUGCCUUGGGAAGAUCAGGAACACGGUGAAUAAUUGGGAUUACCUUUGUCUCACUAAGAGCCAAACCCCAGGUGUUGUAAGGCUACAAAGCUAUCUCAUUGUCUUCCUGUAUCAUCCAACGCUGAGAUCCUCUGUGACAUUUUAAAUUGCUUAUGUAGCAAAGCAAAUGGAGUACAGUAUUCAAACAUAGUUUUGUGUUUGUAGAGAACAUAAGAAGCUGAAAAUAUGAAUGGAUUCAAAGUGCAUGUAGAAAAAAAUGUGUCUGCUAUCUUUGUGAUUUGUUGCUAAGGAAAUGUUUCAUAGAGUAUUAGUACUGGACGAGCCCAAAGAAAUAAUAAUAUGAAGCCAUGUGAUAUUUGGGAUCCACUUACACUAAAAAUUAUUGUUUAUUACAUUUACAUUAUAUUAUUUGUUCUUUAUCUGAAAUCCGAAUUUA
Molecule: long non-coding RNA, 940 nt
Organism: Homo sapiens (human)
Lineage: Eukaryota; Metazoa; Chordata; Mammalia; Primates; Hominidae
Source: Ensembl